GCUUGGGCGUGCCUCCACCCACGCCGGCGUCGGCGGGCGUAUUUCGCCUCACAGUAGGUCGCCGCGACCCGUUGCUUUUGGGGACGUCGAAGGCCCGGACGGAUUGGUACCCUACCGGCUGGGGAUGCGGCUUCGGCUUCUCCUCUUGUCCGGUGGGCGAAACCGCCGGUGUCCUGGCUGCCCUGCGACGGUCGUAGAGACGAGCCCUCCCCUUCGGGGGGGCGGCUCUCGCGGCGUGCAAAAGGUCGGUGAUCCACCCGACCCGUCUUGAAACACGGACCAAGGAGUCUAACAUGUGUGCGAGUCAGUGGGCGCACUAAACCCAGAGGCGUAAUGAAAGUGACACGGGUUCGGCUGUCGCCUCGUGUGGCAGCCGGACUCAGGGCCGAUCCCUCACCGGUUGCCCUCGCCUCUCUCCCGCGUCUCGGUAAGCCGGGUGAGCUAUUUUCCCCGGCCGCUGCUGCGGGGCGCGGGGGGAGGCGGGGUGCGAUGGUGUCCGUAAAAAAGAGCCUGCUGUUGCAGGGGGGCGCAGGCCCGGGACUUGCCAGGACGCCGCGAGACUGUCACUUUGCUGUGAGGCUCUCGGGCCGAUCAGCGGGUCAUGCGUGCAGUCGGCAAGUACCAUGAGCAGACAUGUUGGGACCCGAAAGAUGGUGAACUAUGCCUGGCCAGGAUGAAGCCAGAGGAAACUCUGGUGGAGGUCCGUAGCGAUUCUGACGUGCAAAUCG
Molecule: ribosomal RNA, 728 nt
Filed under: Creaserinus clausus
Lineage: Eukaryota; Metazoa; Arthropoda; Malacostraca; Decapoda; Cambaridae
Description: partial 28S large subunit ribosomal RNA
Rfam family: Eukaryotic large subunit ribosomal RNA (bases 279-728)
Source: RNAcentral